UUUAUUCCUUCUAAAAUAAUGGCAUCGCUGUAGUCAUCUGUUUAAAUAAGGCGGUAUCGGGUUAUGAAGUUAUUUGUCAACCGGGUUAAUGUGACUGGGCAAGAUGCCCUUUUUCAGCAGAGACCCGAGAAGAAACACUCCAAAUACAACGUUUGCAAAACAAAUUUUUUACAAUACAGUGAAAAAUUCAACAAAGUAGAUGAAGAAAGGACAGAAAGUUAAGGGAAAAUGCAAGCUAUGCUGAAUGUAGACAACUCUGUUCUUUGUUACAUCAAAGGCUGUGAAAGAAAGUGAGAUGCAGACUGAAAACCUACAGGAAUGAACCACAUUAACACAAACACAGUCCUGCGGAAUAUAUUAAUCCAUGUAGUCUGAACUCACCAUUUCCAAACUGUUGCCAUACUCAGUGGAUAUACAGAUGGACAGUUUGCAUUGAAAAUCAGAGGCUGAAGAUACUUCAACAUCAUCAAAGUCUGGGAGUAAAGUCGAGAAAUAUGAAGCUAAUGAAAUUUGAUUCAGACUGGAGAGAUGUGAUGAAGACUUUGCUACCAGACGUUUACCACAGUUUUCACAUUCUCAGUACAACAAUAUUUUUGAUUUUCAUAUACGGUUUGCUUUUCUUGAGUUAAUAGAAUCAGUGAAUAUUAUUUCUUUUUAAAUGCACAUUAUUACAUUUUUGAAAUUACAAUAUGCUUUGCGUCAUAAUACUUUGUGGGAUCAUCAAGGUGGGGGAGGACCAGGCAGCAGAAAAGCAGGAGCCAUCUUGUGCUUCUGAGGCCAUUUUCCAUGCCAUUGUGUCAAUAUGCCUGACAUGCAUGGGUGUGUGCAAUAUGCAGUUCCGUAAUGUCAGCAGUCGUAACACAGGAGAAGAAUGAAUAUCGAAUAUCACUCUUCUCCUUUAAACUUGUUUUAUGCAUUACAUGGGGGGGGCAAGCCCCCCCCUGAACUUGUGUAUACCAACUCCAAGAUCACCAUACCUCAGAGAAAAGGGAAUAUUAUGAGAAAUGGCUAUCUUAGACUUAGUAUAUGUAAGUCCGUUUUUUUUUACAUUCAGUCUGUGUAUUAUGGGACUCACUGAAAUAGGUCCCAACAUUUCAAGUGGUUACUGCAAUGUAUACAUACAUAAACUUCUUCAGUCAUUAGACACACAGUUGUGUGAGUGGCUAUCAGCAAGUUUUUAGCACAUGGUCUACUUUUGGGUCCAUGACUGUGGGAAAUGUAUUUAUUUCAUGUGGUUUAUGGUUCUUGGUAAAGGUACUGAACAGGUUCAGGACCAUAAAUAUGCUUGCCCUGUCACAUUGGACAUAUCAUCUCAUAUAGAUAUGUUACUUAAUCCUGUCAGUCAGGCAUGUUUGGUCAACAAACCAAAGGAAGAUCUUAGUGGGUAUUCAGACUGUGCAGCCUGAUUUGCUGGAAAUGCCCACUGAUGUUCAUCUGGUCACACUACAAAGUGUGUUUCAAAUUUGGAAGUGGAAUUGGAAAACAGCGACAUUAUUGACACAGAGUUCAUGCAGGCCCAUAGAUUUUUUAAGACUUUUACAUUAAUUAUUUUAGCAUAUGAAGGUAGUGUUUUUGAUCUGCUUUAAUUAGUCAUUGAUAAUGUCAUAUUUAGCUUCAUUACUUGCAGAGCCCUGUGUUAGUAUGGCAACAGCUAUAGCAGUAUUGUAUGACAUUAACAUCACAAACUAAUGCACAAUGCUCUAUUGCCUUUGCGAAAUAAAAACUAGUACAUCGA
This is a long non-coding RNA of Protopterus annectens (West African lungfish), 1735 nucleotides long. RefSeq lists it as uncharacterized. The record is from RefSeq and is a predicted model, not a curated record. The transcript is spliced from 2 exons. NCBI's taxonomy places the organism in Eukaryota, Metazoa, Chordata, Ceratodontiformes, Protopteridae.